CUUGAGCUGAGCCUCUUUGUGCUGAAGCUCUUGUUCCAGUUUUUCAUUAAGAUCAUGAAGACUAGUUGAUUCUCUUUGAGCAUUGAGAUACCGUUUUUCUAGGGUGGUAAUUCUCUCCUCUUGGUCUUCUUUCUGCGCUACGUUUUCCCGCAAAUCUCUCUGUAGUUUGACGUUACUUUCCUGAGACUUCAAAAGUUCUUUUUGCGCCUUUGACAAGGUUUCUUCAAGUUCUGCUACACGUCCACUCAUUUCUGCCACUCGACGCUGCCAUGUACUCAAUUCUGUGCUCUGGCUUUGUGAUGCUCGAAGAGGCUUUUCAGUGCUUUGAGGACUUCCACCUCCGAUGAUACACCUGAUUGUGCAGCUGCUUGUCGUUUGACAACGGUCAUCCUCAGCGAACGUUCGUGCCUCGACACCAGACAUUCUAGAUGUUCUAAUAAAAGC
This 444-nucleotide unclassified non-coding RNA is filed under the name Athalia rosae (coleseed sawfly). Its description in RNAcentral is "misc RNA ENSAEAG00005011745.1". Lineage: Eukaryota; Metazoa; Arthropoda; Insecta; Hymenoptera; Athaliidae. The record is from RNAcentral.